Molecule: ribosomal RNA, 461 nt
Filed under: uncultured bacterium
Lineage: Bacteria
Description: bacterial SSU rRNA
Rfam family: Bacterial small subunit ribosomal RNA
Source: RNAcentral
AACGAACGCUGGCGGCAGGCUUAACACAUGCAAGUCGAACGAGAAACCAUCUUCGGAUGGCGGAAAGUGGCAAACGGGUGAGUAACACGUGGGAAUGUACCUUUUGGUUCGGGACAACAGUUGGAAACGACUGCUAAUACCGGAUAAGCUCUACGGAGGAAAGAUUUAUCGCCGAAAGAUCAGCCCGCGGCAGAUUAGCUUGUUGGUAAGGUAAUGGCUUACCAAGGCUACGAUCUGUAGCUGGUCUGAGAGGAUGAUCAGCCACACUGGGACUUAGAUACGGCCCAGACUCCUACGGGAGGCAGCAGUGGGGGAAUAUUGCGCAAUGGACGAAAGUCUGACGCAGCCAUGCCGCGUGAGUGAAGAAGGCCUUAGGGUUGUAAAGCUCUUUCAAUAAGGAAGAUAAUGACGGUACUUAUAGAAGAAGCCCCGGCUAACUCCGUGCCAGCAGCCGCGGUAAU